Long non-coding RNA from Diprion similis, 93 nucleotides. RefSeq lists it as uncharacterized. The record is from RefSeq and is a predicted model, not a curated record. Lineage: Eukaryota; Metazoa; Arthropoda; Insecta; Hymenoptera; Diprionidae. The transcript has 3 exons.
CGCCGGGUAUUGCAAGCUGUAUAAACGACACAUAAUUUAUUAAUUCCUCAUGAUUUAUCUCUGCACCAUGCAGCCAGCAAACGAGGAAAGAAC